This 2342-nucleotide unclassified non-coding RNA is filed under the name Metarhizium majus. Lineage: Eukaryota; Fungi; Ascomycota; Sordariomycetes; Hypocreales; Clavicipitaceae. The record is from RNAcentral.
CCCCAAUAUCAGCGCAUCCUGCUUCGCGGGGCGGGUGUUGGGGUUUAGAACCACCAAGUGGUAGUAGUUAUAGGCUUGAAAGAAAGCCGCCGAGUGGUGGUUUUGGAGGGAAAAUCUACCAAGUUUAAAUAAAAAGUCAGGCGAGCAAAAGGUUUGCCGAGUCGAAAAGUCGGGCGAGUAAAAAAAUCACCAAGUCCAAAAUAUUACCGGCAACAUACCCGGGACUCCAAGUAAGUCGGGGAAGAAGUUGGCGUGUUUUUCCGACCAACUCAACUUGACCGAUUUACCUGCCCGACUUGCCUGAGCUCCCGGGUAGGCUACGGUUAAUUUUUGGACUUGGCAGGAAAGUAAAAAAUUUCACCAAGUCCGAAAGUUAAUCGUAGCUUACCCGUGAGCCCAGGUAAGCAAAAAUCUCACCAAGUCCGAAAACUAACUACAGCUUACCCGUGAGCUCAGGCAAGUCGGGCAGGUGAAUUCCGCCAAGUCGGCAGGGAAGGAACUGGUUAUAAAUUAAUUCAAGCAAAUCCGCCAAGUCCACAAAUCAGUCGCAGCCUACCCGGUAGGCCUAUAUGUUUCCCGUGCGAUUUCCCGCAAAGACCAAAAAGUCGGGUGUUUUAGUACUUGACUUGUAUAGGCGUGAGUCGAUUUUUUUGUUUUCCUAUAUAAAUGAAUUUUGCGGAAAAUAAAAAGUAGUAUAUAAGCACUUAGUAGCGGAGGCGAACCCUUAAAAUAGUCGGCAGGUAUAUAAAGGAGAGGGCUGGACACGCGUCGCGUUGCGUAUUUCCGCCUCGCCCAACACUUUUGGCUUUAGGGUAGGCUACUUGUUUAGAGGCGCGCUGAAUUGGAUGGUCUCUUAAGUGAGGGGAUUUCUCUGCUGGCAGUUGCUUGUGAUCUGGGAGUCCGUGGUGGUGAAGUCAACUGUAAGGCUUGUGUGUGCGUGGGUGCGUGUGCCGGGGCCCUGUAAGUCCCGACUAGGAACCCUGCAGGUCACGUGCUAAUACGAUAAGAUAAGAUAAAUAAGAUAUGCGGCACGUGUAUCAGCACGUGCCAAUACAAGUGACGAUAAGAUCAAUAAGAUACCUGGUAUAAUAAGUAAAAUACCUGCACGUGUCCUGCUCCCAAGGUCCCCGAGGUCCCCGAGGUUGCCAACCUCGCCGACUACUCCUGGCGUAAUAUGCUGGUGCAGUUGCAUAUAAUUCCUUACUGGUCUUAAUAAUAGUACACUUGUUGAUCGCGAUGCGCUCACUUGCGGUGCGGUUGUGCGGCUGCUAUCGGCUGUGGUGGAGGGUUACCCGGGACCACGGUGCAUUUUUCCGCCUUUUCCAUUUUUUCAAAAUCGACGACCAAAAGGUUGGUAGGUCUGGGUUGCCUUGCUGGCCAAUAGAAAUUUGUAUGGCGCUACUAUAGGGUAGGUAUAGGGUAGGCUGUGCCGGUACUUGAGGUCGCGCACAAAUCCCUAGCAACCCGAAGUACCCCCGCGGGCGGGCAACUUCAAACCGCUAUAGCUGCUUCCAGCGGCAUCGCACACAACUGUGAGGACCACCAUACGAUUCGUCUCGCCGAGCAGCAUCGAUUGAGCCUGGGUUGCCAAAAAGUCGGGUGUUUUGGUAUUUGAUUUGUAUGGGCGUGAGUCGAUUUUUUUGUUUUCCCAUACAAAUGAAUUUUGCGGAAAAUAAAAAAUGGAACACGAGCGCCCGGUGGCGGAGGUGGACCCUCGAGGUGGUCGGUGGGUAUGUGAGAAGGGGGCGUCGAAAGAUGCCGGGACAGCUGGGUCUUCGCUGAAAGGCAGGAUUUCCGGUGAGUCACCGCCCUCUCUGUACCAUAUCUUGCCGAGCCCCAGUGCUUGAGUGGCCUCCUGAACACGCCUGUAGAAGCUCUUUUACAGGCUGGGAGGUCACACUAGGGAUUCAAACUCCACGAAGUCGGCGGCUACGGCCGUGCGGCGUACUGGUUAUACCUCGUGGCAGUGGGAGGCACCCGCCUCUUACCGCUCAGGAGAUGGGUUCUGUGGGCUGCUGGCCGCUGGCCAACAUGCCGUAAAUCAGAAUAACGGGAGGCAACCACGGGUAGCUGACGCCGAAAUGGCAGAGGCUGCACGGAGCGUCCUCCUCUUAGGGCACCUAUACCGCACUUUACGGUGCGUGUGGACGGCUGCGCCUAGGGAAUUAGGAGGGGGAAAGCGGAUUUGCCGCUGGGCGGUCUCUCCCGGUCAAACGGGCAGGGCACCUCCCGGCGCGCAGCACCCUUUCGAGUGGGGGAAAGGUGUGCCGACCAGUAACUUGGACUAUUCUCUCCGGCGCCCGUGCUAGGGCGUCGGUAGGCCAACCCCGGCGAACGAUAGU